This 1372-nucleotide ribosomal RNA is filed under the name uncultured bacterium. RNAcentral's name for it is "bacterial SSU rRNA". It matches the Rfam family "Bacterial small subunit ribosomal RNA", at positions 28 to 1381 of the family's 1533-position model. The record is from RNAcentral.
GAUGAACGCUGGCGGCGUGCCUAAUACAUGCAAGUCGAGCGAACGGACGAGAAGCUUGCUUCUCUGAUGUUAGCGGCGGACGGGUGAGUAACACGUGGAUAACCUACCUAUAAGACUGGGAUAACUUCGGGAAACCGGAGCUAAUACCGGAUAAUAUUUUGAACCGCAUGGUUCAAAAGUGAAAGACGGUCUUGCUGUCACUUAUAGAUGGAUCCGCGCUGCAUUAGCUAGUUGGUAAGGUAACGGCUUACCAAGGCAACGAUGCAUAGCCGACCUGAGAGGGUGAUCGGCCACACUGGAACUGAGACACGGUCCAGACUCCUACGGGAGGCAGCAGUAGGGAAUCUUCCGCAAUGGGCGAAAGCCUGACGGAGCAACGCCGCGUGAGUGAUGAAGGUCUUCGGAUCGUAAAACUCUGUUAUUAGGGAAGAACAUAUGUGUAAGUAACUGUGCACAUCUUGACGGUACCUAAUCAGAAAGCCACGGCUAACUACGUGCCAGCAGCCGCGGUAAUACGUAGGUGGCAAGCGUUAUCCGGAAUUAUUGGGCGUAAAGCGCGCGUAGGCGGUUUUUUAAGUCUGAUGUGAAAGCCCACGGCUCAACCGUGGAGGGUCAUUGGAAACUGGAAAACUUGAGUGCAGAAGAGGAAAGUGGAAUUCCAUGUGUAGCGGUGAAAUGCGCAGAGAUAUGGAGGAACACCAGUGGCGAAGGCGACUUUCUGGUCUGUAACUGACGCUGAUGUGCGAAAGCGUGGGGAUCAAACAGGAUUAGAUACCCUGGUAGUCCACGCCGUAAACGAUGAGUGCUAAGUGUUAGGGGGUUUCCGCCCCUUAGUGCUGCAGCUAACGCAUUAAGCACUCCGCCUGGGGAGUACGACCGCAAGGUUGAAACUCAAAGGAAUUGACGGGGACCCGCACAAGCGGUGGAGCAUGUGGUUUAAUUCGAAGCAACGCGAAGAACCUUACCAAAUCUUGACAUCCUUUGACAACUCUAGAGAUAGAGCUUUCCCCUUCGGGGGACAAAGUGACAGGUGGUGCAUGGUUGUCGUCAGCUCGUGUCGUGAGAUGUUGGGUUAAGUCCCGCAACGAGCGCAACCCUUAAGCUUAGUUGCCAUCAUUAAGUUGGGCACUCUAAGUUGACUGCUGGUGACAAACCGGAGGAAGGUGGGGAUGACGUCAAAUCAUCAUGCCCCUUAUGAUUUGGGCUACACACGUGCUACAAUGGACAAUACAAAGGGCAGCGAAACCGUGAGGUCAAGCAAAUCCCAUAAAGUUGUUCUCAGUUCGGAUUGUAGUCUGCAACUCGACUACAUGAAGCUGGAAUCGCUAGUAAUCGUAGAUCAGCAUGCUACGGUGAAUACGUUCCCGGGUCU